GACGAACGCUGGCGGCGUGCCUAAUACAUGCAAGUAGAACGCACAGUUUAUACCGUAGCUUGCUACACCAUAGACUGUGAGUUGCGAACGGGUGAGUAACGCGUAGGUAACCUGCCUGGUAGCGGGGGAUAACUAUUGGAAACGAUAGCUAAUACCGCAUAAUAUUGAUUAUUGCAUGAUAAUUGAUUGAAAGAUGCUAUUGCAUCACUACCAGAUGGACCUGCGUUGUAUUAGCUAGUAGGUGAGGUAACGGCUCACCUAGGCGACGAUACAUAGCCGACCUGAGAGGGUGAUCGGCCACACUGGGACUGAGACACGGCCCAGACUCCUACGGGAGACAGCAGUAGGGAAUCUUCGGCAAUAGACGAAAGUCUGACCGAGCAACGCCGCGUGAGUGAAGAAGGUUUUCGGAUCGUAAAGCUCUGUUGUAAGAGAAGAACGGGUGUGAGAGUGGAAAGUUCACACUGUGACGGUAUCUUACCAGAAAGGGACGGCUAACUACGUG
RNAcentral lists this ribosomal RNA (505 nucleotides) under uncultured bacterium. Its description in RNAcentral is "partial 16S ribosomal RNA". It matches the Rfam family "Bacterial small subunit ribosomal RNA", at positions 28 to 507 of the family's 1533-position model. The record is from RNAcentral.